UACGGAAGGCAGCAGUGGGGAAUAUUGCACAAUGGGCGCAAGCCUGAUGCAGCCAUGCCGCGUGUAUGAAGAAGGCCUUCGGGUUGUAAAGUACUUUCAGUCGUGAGGAAGGUGUUAAGGUUAAUAACCUUAGCAAUUGACGUUAGCGACAGAAGAAGCACCGGCUAACUCCGUGCCAGCAGCCGCGGUAAUACGGAGGGUGCGAGCGUUAAUCGGAAUUACUGGGCGUAAAGGGCACGCAGGCGGUUAAUUAAGUUGGAUGUGAAAUCCCCGGGCUUAACCUGGGAAUGGCAUUCAAGACUGGUUAGCUAGAGUCUUGUAGAGGGGGUAGAAUUCCAUGUGUAGCGGUGAAAUGCGUAGAGAUGUGGAGGAAUACCGGUGGCGAAGGCGGCCCCUGGACAAAGACUGACGCUCAUGUGCGAAAGCGUGGGGGGCAAACGAGGGAUUAGAUACC
This 454-nucleotide ribosomal RNA is filed under the name uncultured bacterium. RNAcentral describes it as "bacterial SSU rRNA". It matches the Rfam family "Bacterial small subunit ribosomal RNA", at positions 340 to 786 of the family's 1533-position model. The record is from RNAcentral.